Molecule: ribosomal RNA, 445 nt
Filed under: uncultured bacterium
Lineage: Bacteria
Description: partial 16S ribosomal RNA
Rfam family: Bacterial small subunit ribosomal RNA
Source: RNAcentral
GUGAGGAAUAUUGGUCAAUGGGCGCAAGCCUGAACCAGCCAUGCCGCGUGCAGGAAGACGGUCCUAUGGAUUGUAAACUGCUUUUAUUUGGGAAUAAACCUCCUUACGUGUAGGGAGCUGAAGGUACCAAAUGAAUAAGCACCGGCUAACUCCGUGCCAGCAGCCGCGGUAAUACGGUGGGUGCAAGCGUUAUCCGGAAUCAUGGGGUUUAAAGGGUCCGCAGGCGGUCAUAUAAGUCAGUGGUGAAAGCCUACAGCUCAACUGUAGAACUGCCAUUGAUACUGUAUGACUUGAAUUCGAUCGAAGUGGGCGGAAUGUGACAUGUAGCGGUGAAAUGCUUAGAUAUGUCACAGAACACCGAUAGCGAAGGCAGCUCACUAGGUCUGGAUUGACGCUCAGGGACGAAAGCGUGGGGAGCAAACAGGAUUAGAAACCCUGGUAGUCC